Molecule: transfer RNA, 69 nt
Filed under: Clinocottus analis (woolly sculpin)
Lineage: Eukaryota; Metazoa; Chordata; Actinopteri; Perciformes; Cottidae
Description: tRNA-Cys
Source: RNAcentral
AGGCCCCAAGGUGUUGUCACACAUAAGAUUGCAAAUCUUAAGAAGCAGGCUAAUUGCGUGCUGGGGCUU